Molecule: long non-coding RNA, 602 nt
Organism: Lotus japonicus
Lineage: Eukaryota; Viridiplantae; Streptophyta; Magnoliopsida; Fabales; Fabaceae
Exons: 3
Source: RefSeq, a predicted model, not a curated record
UUUGGUAAUUUCAGCUUUCACCCACUACCAUUGCAUGUUUUGUUCUCUGUCAUCUGAAUCCUUGAUCUUUCAACGUUUUAACUUAUAUUCGAUUAUCCAUCUUUAUUAUUUCAGAUUAAUCUGAACCAGAGCAUGUCAUUUCCGUCAUCAUCGUCCAGGGUUGACUGGACCUUGAACCUUGGCCUGUGCUAAAAUUCUAAUAGGACUCUCCUUAGAUCAAGAUGAUAGCAAGGAGCUUCUCUCAUGGGCAAUAAGAGUUCUAGCCAAUCCAAAUGACACCAUUGUGGUUGUGCACGUUCUUGUUGCUGAGGAUAAGAAGAAGCGCAUCUCGGUUAGAAGAAGGCAAUCACAGCUUAGGCAGGCAAAAGCAUAUGUUAUAUCUAUGGUUGCUGACUUCUUUAACAUCAAGAUGAUAGCAAGGAGCUUCUCUCAUGGGCAAUGAUAGUUCUAGCCAAUCCAAAUGGCACCAUUGUGGCUGUGCACGUUCUUGGUUAGUCACUAUUUUUCUACCCAAGAUAAGUUUGCGGCUCAAUUUAGCUAUUGAAUAAUUUUUUAAUACUAAUUCACAAACUGAACAUUAUAACAUCAUUGAUGAACACAGA